GUGGGAAGCUGUUUUGUCCUGUUUUUCACUGCAUCACGGUUUGAUUUCUGGUCCUCAAAGCAAUUAACAUUUGGCAUCAAACAGGGAAACAGACAGAGCCUCGCCCCCGCAAACGCCUCACUCACACGCAUGCAUGGACAUGCACACACCCACACAUGUGCACACUGCUGCUCGCCCAUGUGUCUGUCAUGACAGGGCGCUGUGUUUCCUACUCCCGCGGUCAUCCUGCUGGCAGAUGACCAGGUCCCAGGCAGUAGCAAUGCGGCACAGCUGCAGGAGAUCCGAAGCUGCCUGGGCUGUCCACAGUGGCGUGGGCCUCAGCUGCAGCUUCCAGCACAGCUGCUUAGAUAGGGCCAGCUUUUUUUUUUUUUUUUUAAACAAACCUGAAGCUCAUUGUGUGGUCGAAGAUGUGGUUUGCGAGUGCCCAUGGCAGGAUUCCCACUGCGGAGACUCCUGUACAUCGGGUAUGAGGCAGCACAUUGCGUGCAAUGCAUUCUGGUCUUUUUUCCUCCCUCCAGAAGAGGCUCCAUUUAUGUGUUAGGCUUUAAGAGGCUGGGCGUACCAAAAGGAAGUCUCUGAAACGCAGUCCUGUCGAACACCUCUGGAGUUGAUUCUUCUGAUAUCACAGGAGUUCUUCCUAUCACUGUAUAUUAUUGGGUGCGAGCCCCCGGUCCUUCCUCUAUGAGGAGGCAGUGGAGGGAAGAGUUGAACCUCUUCUCGCACACACACCUGAGACUCCCUGGCUCUCUCUGUGGGCCACAGGAUGGGCUUCAGUUAUGGCGAGUAAUAAUUUUGUUAUCGCGGUUUUUACAUUGAUUUGGAACAUGGUGUUACACAAAAUGCUGAAAUUGAAAAAGACAGGAUGAGUCACCUUUGCCCUGUCUCCUCUUCAAGUCUGAUCCUAAUUGAACGGAGAGUGCAAACUGCACGCCAAGAUUUGCAGAACAAAGGCCUCCCCGCCCACGAGUUCCUCAUGGCCUUGCCUCAGUCCCCGAAAUCCCGCUGUUAGCCUCCCUCACUAGAAUAAGGCAUUAGCACAGAAGCCAACGUUGGGGGAAAAGAAAAUCAAUACAGCGUGGAAGAGAAAGCAGGAAGCCAUGGAGGGAGGAAGAGACUGAGGCUCCGGCUGGAAGGACUUCGUUUGUGAUAAGAGCAGAGAGGAAAAGCAGCAAGAAAGAAAAGUCGCUGUACACUUUGGGUCUGGACAUCAAAGAAACAAAGGAAAUGCUUAGAUUCAGAGUGGCACGUGUGUAGAAAAAAGUCCUGCUUUCCUGUCUUGGGGGACACCACUAUCAUCCCAUGUAAGUGACCAGUGCUCCCCAAGUGGCCCUCUCCUGGCAUUUCACUGAGACACAAGCUCCCUGAAAGCUGGGGCUUACCUGACCAUGUGCCCCCUGCACUCCCAGGGCUGAGACCUGCGUCUGGUCCCUGCUAGACACCCAGCGAGGGUUGACAGCAUGAGCGAAUGAGCUUCUCCGUCUGCCCGUAAGUGUGAUGGACACCUUCUCCUACAGCCACCCGUUUCACACAUCAGGCAAACGUCUGUCAAGUCCACUCCUGAAAAUCCUGAAGGAUGUGGCAUUGGACAGGUGAUGCAGUCACAGCCUCGCCCUAGGCCACUCCGGGUCUCUGCUGCCAGGCUACGAGGAGCAGAGAAACACAGGUCCUCUAGCGCAGAUACUUUCUCCAUGCAAGUCUUGAACUUCUGAAAGUCAUCCA
RNAcentral lists this long non-coding RNA (1719 nucleotides) under Homo sapiens (human). Its description in RNAcentral is "non-protein coding lnc-CNPY1-2:38". Lineage: Eukaryota; Metazoa; Chordata; Mammalia; Primates; Hominidae. The record is from RNAcentral.